Molecule: long non-coding RNA, 323 nt
Filed under: Elaeis guineensis (African oil palm)
Lineage: Eukaryota; Viridiplantae; Streptophyta; Magnoliopsida; Arecales; Arecaceae
Description: long non-coding RNA (EGUI_LNC006337)
Source: RNAcentral
AAAAACAAGAGGAGAAGUCAGCGCCGGCGAUCGUCGGCGACAGGAAAAGGGGGACGGCGGCUGCGCUGCUGGCGGCGGAGAUGGGGUCGGCGGAGAUGGGGUCAGGUGGAAAGGGGCGGCAGUAGAUGGAUUAGGGCACGAAAGGUCGGGGUGUUAAACGAACCUAACAACGCUAAAAAGCGUCGUUAAAGAUCCUUAUUUAACAACGCUUUUGCUAAAAGCGUCGGCGUUGACAGUUUCAAAAUUACGACGCUUAAAAGCGUCGUUAAGAAACGACGCUUUUUAAAAGCGUCGGCAGGUCAGCGCAACCUGCCGACGCUUUC